RNAcentral lists this ribosomal RNA (539 nucleotides) under Fusarium equiseti. Its description in RNAcentral is "eukaryotic LSU rRNA". The stretch from base 205 to 358 matches the Rfam family "5.8S ribosomal RNA". Lineage: Eukaryota; Fungi; Ascomycota; Sordariomycetes; Hypocreales; Nectriaceae. The record is from RNAcentral.
GGAAGUAAAAAAUCGUAACAAGGUCUCCGUUGGUGAACCAGCGGAGGGAUCAUUACCGAGUUUACAACUCCCAAACCCCUGUGAACAUACCUAUACGUUGCCUCGGCGGAUCAGCCCGCGCCCCGUAAAAAGGGACGGCCCGCCCGAGGACCCCUAAACUCUGUUUUUAGUGGAACUUCUGAGUAAAACAAACAAAUAAAUCAAAACUUUCAACAACGGAUCUCUUGGUUCUGGCAUCGAUGAAGAACGCAGCAAAAUGCGAUAAGUAAUGUGAAUUGCAGAAUUCAGUGAAUCAUCGAAUCUUUGAACGCACAUUGCGCCCGCCAGUAUUCUGGCGGGCAUGCCUGUUCGAGCGUCAUUUCAACCCUCAAGCUCAGCUUGGUGUUGGGACUCGCGGUAACCCGCGUUCCCCAAAUCGAUUGGCGGUCACGUCGAGCUUCCAUAGCGUAGUAAUCAUACACCUCGUUACUGGUAAUCGUCGCGGCCACGCCGUAAAACCCCAACUUCUGAAUGUGACCUCGGAUCAGGUAGAUGCCCCG